This 253-nucleotide ribosomal RNA is filed under the name uncultured bacterium. Its description in RNAcentral is "partial 16S ribosomal RNA". It matches the Rfam family "Bacterial small subunit ribosomal RNA", at positions 524 to 776 of the family's 1533-position model. The record is from RNAcentral.
UACGAAGGGUGCAAGCGUUAAUCGGAAUUACUGGGCGUAAAGCGUGCGUAGGCGGUUGGCUAAGUCAGAUGUGAAAGCCCUGGGCUCAACCUGGGAAUGGCAUUUGAAACUGGCCGGCUAGAGUGUGAUAGAGGAUGGCGGAAUUCCCGGUGUAGCGGUGAAAUGCGUAGAGAUCGGGAGGAACAUCCGUGGCGAAGGCGGCCAUCUGGAUCAACACUGACGCUGAGGCACGAAAGCUAGGGGAGCAAACGGG